RNAcentral lists this ribosomal RNA (1414 nucleotides) under Salmonella enterica subsp. enterica serovar Kentucky. RNAcentral describes it as "partial 23S ribosomal RNA". It matches the Rfam family "Bacterial large subunit ribosomal RNA", at positions 1 to 1443 of the family's 2925-position model. Lineage: Bacteria; Pseudomonadati; Pseudomonadota; Gammaproteobacteria; Enterobacterales; Enterobacteriaceae. The record is from RNAcentral.
GGGUUGUGAGGUUAAGCGACUAAGCGUACACGGUGGAUGCCCUGGCAGUCAGAGGCGAUGAAGGGCGUGCUAAUCUGCGAUAAGCGCCGGUAAGGUGAUAUGAACCGUUAUAACCGGCGAUACCCGAAUGGGGAAACCCAGUGUGACUCGUCACACUAUCAUUAACUGAAUCCAUAGGUUAAUGAGGCGAACCGGGGGAACUGAAACAUCUAAGUACCCCGAGGAAAAGAAAUCAACCGAGAUUCCCCCAGUAGCGGCGAGCGAACGGGGAGGAGCCCAGAGCCUGAAUCAGCAUGUGUGUUAGUGGAAGCGUCUGGAAAGGCGCGCGAUACAGGGUGACAGCCCCGUACACAAAAGCGCAUGUGCUGUGAGCUCGAUGAGUAGGGCGGGACACGUGGUAUCCUGUCUGAAUAUGGGGGGACCAUCCUCCAAGGCUAAAUACUCCUGACUGACCGAUAGUGAACCAGUACCGUGAGGGAAAGGCGAAAAGAACCCCGGCGAGGGGAGUGAAAAAGAACCUGAAACCGUGUACGUACAAGCAGUGGGAGCACAGGUUUACCUGUGUGACUGCGUACCUUUUGUAUAAUGGGUCAGCGACUUAUAUUCUGUAGCAAGGUUAACCGAAUAGGGGAGCCGGAGGGAAACCGAGUCUUAAUUGGGCGUUAAGUUGCAGGGUAUAGACCCGAAACCCGGUGAUCUAGCCAUGGGCAGGUUGAAGGUUGGGUAACACUAACUGGAGGACCGAACCGACUAAUGUUGAAAAAUUAGCGGAUGACCUGUGGCUGGGGGUGAAAGGCCAAUCAAACCGGGAGAUAGCUGGUUCUCCCCGAAAGCUAUUUAGGUAGCGCCUCGUGAAUUCAUCUCCGGGGGUAGAGCACUGUUUCGGCUAGGGGGCCAUCCCGGCUUACCAACCCGAUGCAAACUGCGAAUACCGGAGAAUGUUAUCACGGGAGACACACGGCGGGUGCUAACGUCCGUCGUGAAGAGGGAAACAACCCAGACCGCCAGCUAAGGUCCCAAAGUCAUGGUUAAGUGGGAAACGAUGUGGGAAGGCCCAGACAGCCAGGAUGUUGGCUUAGAAGCAGCCAUCAUUUAAAGAAAGCGUAAUAGCUCACUGGUCGAGUCGGCCUGCGCGGAAGAUGUAACGGGGCUAAACCAUGCACCGAAGCUGCGGCAGCGACGCUGAUGCGUUGUUGGGUAGGGGAGCGUUCUGUAAGCCUGUGAAGGUGGCCUGUGAGGGUUGCUGGAGGUAUCAGAAGUGCGAAUGCUGACAUAAGUAACGAUAAAGCGGGUGAAAAGCCCGCUCGCCGGAAGACCAAGGGUUCCUGUCCAACGUUAAUCGGGGCAGGGUGAGUCGACCCCUAAGGCGAGGCCGAAAGGCGUAGUCGAUGGGAAACGGGUUAAUAUUCCCGUA